This 433-nucleotide ribosomal RNA is filed under the name uncultured bacterium. RNAcentral describes it as "partial 16S ribosomal RNA". It matches the Rfam family "Bacterial small subunit ribosomal RNA", at positions 29 to 507 of the family's 1533-position model. The record is from RNAcentral.
AACGAACGCUGGCGGCAUGCCUAACACAUGCAAGUCGAACGAGACCUUCGGGUCUAGUUGCGCACGGGUGCGUAACGCGUGGGAACCUGCCCUUAGGUUCGGAAUAACUCCCCGAAAGGGGUGCUAAUACCGGAUAAUGUCUUCGGACCAAAGAUUUAUCGCCUUUGGAUGGGCCGGCGUUGGAUUGGCUAGUUGGUAGGGUAAAAGCCUACCAAGGCGACGAUCCAUAGCUGGUCUGAGAGGAUGAUCAGCCACACUGGGACUGAGACACGGCCCAGACUCCUACGGGAGGCAGCAGUGGGGAAUAUUGGACAAUGGGCGAAAGCCUGAUCCAGCAAUGCCGCGUGAGUGAUGAAGGCCUUAGGGUUGUAAAGCUCUUUUACCCGGGAUGAUAAUGACAGUACCGGGAGAAUAAGCUCCGGCUAACUCCGUG